ACACAUGCAGUCGAGCGGAACGAUCCUAGCUUGCUAGGAGGCGUCGAGCGGCGGACGGGUGAGUAACGCAUAGGAAUCUGCCCGAUAGUGGGGGAUAACCUGAGGAAACUCAGGCUAAUACCGCAUACGUCCUACGGGAGAAAGCAGGGGCUCUUCGGACCUUGCGCUAUCGGAUGAGCUUAUGUCGGAUUAGCUGGUUGGUGAGGUAACGGCUCACCAAGGCGACGAUCCGUAGCUGGUCUGAGAGGAUGAUCAGCCACAUCGGGACUGAGACACGGCCCGAACUCCUACGGGAGGCAGCAGUGGGGAAUAUUGGACAAUGGGGGCAACCCUGAUCCAGCCAUGCCGCGUGUGUGAAGAAGGCCCUCGGGUUGUAAAGCACUUUCAGCGAGGAAGAAGGCUUGUCGGUUAAUACCCGGCAAGGGAGACAUCACUCGCAGAAGAAGCACCGGCUAACUCCGUGCCAGCAGCCGCGGUAAUACGGAGGGUGCGAGCGUUAAUCGGAAUUACUGGGCGUAAAGCGUGCGUAGGCGGCUUGAUAAGCCGGUUGUGAAAGCCCCGGGCUCAACCUGGGAACGGCAUCCGGAACUGUCAGGCUAGAGUGCAGGAGAGGAAGGUAGAAUUCCCGGUGUAGCGGUGAAAUGCGUAGAGAUCGGGAGGAAUACCAGUGGCGAAGGCGGCCUUCUGGACUGACACUGACGCUGAGGUACGAAAGCGUGGGUAGCAAACAGGAUUAGAUACCCUGGUAGUCCACGCCGUAAACGAUGUCGACUAGCCGUUGGGGUCCUCGAGACCUUUGUGGCGCAGUUAACGCACUAAGUCGACCGCCUGGGGAGUACGGCCGCAAGGUUAAAACUCAAAUGAAUUGACGGGGGCCCGCACAAGCGGUGGAGCAUGUGGUUUAAUUCGAUGCAACGCGAAGAACCUUACCUACC
This 935-nucleotide ribosomal RNA is filed under the name bacterium N12(2011). RNAcentral describes it as "bacterial SSU rRNA". It matches the Rfam family "Bacterial small subunit ribosomal RNA", at positions 51 to 979 of the family's 1533-position model. The record is from RNAcentral.